RNAcentral lists this ribosomal RNA (254 nucleotides) under uncultured bacterium. RNAcentral describes it as "partial 16S ribosomal RNA". It matches the Rfam family "Bacterial small subunit ribosomal RNA", at positions 524 to 776 of the family's 1533-position model. The record is from RNAcentral.
UACGGAGGGUGCGAGCGUUGUCCGGGAUCAUUGGGCGUAAAGGGCGCGUAGGUGGCCCGGUCAGUUCGUGGUGAAAGCGCGGGGCUCAACCCUGCGUCGGCCAUGAAUACUGCCGCGGCUGGAGCACUGUAGAGGCAGGCGGAAUUCCGGGUGUAGCGGUGGAAUGCGUAGAGAUCCGGAAGAACACCGGUGGCGAAGGCGGCCUGCUGGGCAGUUGCUGACACUGAGGCGCGACAGCGUGGGGAGCAAACAGG